RNAcentral lists this ribosomal RNA (84 nucleotides) under Candidatus Saccharimonadota bacterium. Lineage: Bacteria; Candidatus Saccharimonadota. The record is from RNAcentral.
UACCUGUUCCCAUUCCGAACACAGAAGUCAAGCCCAGUAGCGCCGAUUAUACUGCGAAAGCGGGAAACUAGGAAGGUGCCAAAU